This 478-nucleotide ribosomal RNA is filed under the name uncultured bacterium. RNAcentral describes it as "partial 16S ribosomal RNA". It matches the Rfam family "Bacterial small subunit ribosomal RNA", at positions 28 to 523 of the family's 1533-position model. The record is from RNAcentral.
GACGAACGCUGGCGGCGUGCUUAACACAUGCAAGUCGAACGGUAAGGCCCUUCGGGGUACACGAGUGGCGAACGGGUGUGUAACACGUGGGUGAUCUGCCCUGCACUUCGGGAUAAGCUUGGGAAACUGGGUCUAAUACCGGAUAGGACUCCGGACUGCAUGGUCUGGGGUGGAAAGCUUUUGCGGUGUGGGAUGGGCCCGCGGCCUAUCAGCUUGUUGGUGGGGUGAUGGCCUACCAAGGCGACGACGGGUAGCCGGCCUGAGAGGGUGACCGGCCACACUGGGACUGAGAUACGGCCCAGACUCCUACGGGAGGCAGCAGUGGGGAAUAUUGCACAAUGGGCGCAAGCCUGAUGCAGCGACGCCGCGUGAGGGAUGACGGCCUUCGGGUUGUAAACCUCUUUCAGCAUCGACGAAGCGAAAGUGACGGUAGGUGCAGAAUAAGGACCGGCUAACUACGUGCCAGCAGCCGCAGUAA